Molecule: microRNA precursor, 109 nt
Organism: Sorghum bicolor (sorghum)
Lineage: Eukaryota; Viridiplantae; Streptophyta; Magnoliopsida; Poales; Poaceae
Rfam family: MIR5565 microRNA precursor family
Source: Rfam
GUAGUCGGAUUCGCAUCAAUUCACAUAUGUUGGGAUGGGUUGGAGUGGAACUUAAACUAAAUUCCACCUCAAUCCACUACAACACAUCUGGAAUGAGGUGAAUCCGAUA